Molecule: ribosomal RNA, 656 nt
Filed under: uncultured bacterium
Lineage: Bacteria
Description: bacterial SSU rRNA
Rfam family: Bacterial small subunit ribosomal RNA
Source: RNAcentral
GUUGAACGCUGGCGGCGUGCUUAACACAUGCAAGUCGAACGAAACCAAGGGAGCUUGCUCCUGGAAGUUUAGUGGCGGACGGGUGAGUAACGCGUGAGGAAUCUGCCUCGGAGUGGGGAAUAACAGUUGGAAACGACUGCUAAUACCGCAUGAUGCAUUUGAGUCGCAUGGCUCUGAAUGCCAAAGAUUUAUCGCUCUGAGAUGAUCUCGCGUCUGAUUAGCUAGUUGGUGAGGUAAUGGCUCACCAAGGCGACGAUCAGUAGCCGGACUGAGAGGUUGAACGGCCACAUUGGGACUGAGACACGGCCCAGACUCCUACGGGAGGCAGCAGUGAGGAAUAUUGGGCAAUGGGCGCAAGCCUGACCCAGCAACGCCGCGUGAAGGAAGAAGGCUUUCGGGUUGUAAACUUCUUUUGUCAGGGACGAAACAAAUGACGGUACCUGAAGAAAAAGCCACGGCUAACUACGUGCCAGCAGCCGCGGUAAUACGUAGGUGGCAAGCGUUAUCCGGAUUUACUGGGUGUAAAGGGCGUGUAGGCGGGACUGCAAGUCAGGCGUGAAAACCAGGGGCUCAACCUCUGGCCUGCGUUUGAAACUGUAGUUCUUGAGUGUGGGAGAGGUAAUCGGAAUUCCUAGUGUAGCGGUGAAAUGCUUAGA